CCUACGGGGGGCUGCAGUGAGGAAUAUUGGUCAAUGGGCGCAAGCCUGAACCAGCCAUCCCGCGUGCAGGAAGAAGGCGCUAUGCGUUGUAAACUUCUUUUCCGGAGGAAUAAAAUCUCGUACGUGUACGGGACUGAAGGUACUCCGGGAAUAAGCAUCGGCUAACUCCGUGCCAGCAGCCGCGGUAAUACGGAGGAUGCAAGCGUUAUCCGGAUUUAUUGGGUUUAAAGGGUGCGUAGGCGGACUAAUAAGUCAGUGGUGAAAACCUUCAGCUUAACUGGAGACUUGCCAUUGAUACUGUCAGUCUUGAGUAUGGUUAAGGUAGGCGGAAUGUGUAAUGUAGCGGUGAAAUGCUUAGAUAUUACACAGAACACCGAUUGCGAAGGCAGCUUACUGAGCCAUAACUGACGCUGAUGCACGAAAGCGUGGGGAGCGAACAGGAUUAGAUACCCUGGUAGUC
Molecule: ribosomal RNA, 460 nt
Filed under: uncultured Bacteroidota bacterium
Lineage: Bacteria; Pseudomonadati; Bacteroidota
Description: bacterial SSU rRNA
Rfam family: Bacterial small subunit ribosomal RNA
Source: RNAcentral